UGAGUUCUGGAAAGGAAGAUCAGCCACACUGGGACUGAAACACGGCCCAGACUCCUACGGGAGGCAGCAGUGGGGAAUAUUGGACAAUGGGGGGAACCCUGAUCCAGCAAUGCCGCGUGUGUGAAGAAGGCCUGAGGGUUGUAAAGCACUUUCGGCGGGGAGGAGGAUGAGUUGGUUAAGAGCUGGCUUAUGGGACGGACCCGCAUAAGAAGCACCGGCUAACUCCGAGCCGGGAGCCGGAGGAAGACGGAGGGGGGAAGCAUGAAGCGGAAUGACUGGGAGU
Molecule: ribosomal RNA, 283 nt
Filed under: uncultured Legionella sp.
Lineage: Bacteria; Pseudomonadati; Pseudomonadota; Gammaproteobacteria; Legionellales; Legionellaceae
Description: partial 16S ribosomal RNA
Rfam family: Bacterial small subunit ribosomal RNA
Source: RNAcentral